RNAcentral lists this long non-coding RNA (842 nucleotides) under Ananas comosus (pineapple). RNAcentral describes it as "long non-coding RNA (ACOM_LNC029064)". Lineage: Eukaryota; Viridiplantae; Streptophyta; Magnoliopsida; Poales; Bromeliaceae. The record is from RNAcentral.
GCAUAGUAGUAUUGCAUUUCAUAUAUGCUUUCAAUUCAACAGCUUAUUAUUGUCUAUUACUAUCGUUACUUACCCCUUUUCUUUGGGCCUAGUGGUGCAUUGUGCUCAGGUCAGUAAUUGCCCACUGGGAACUAUAAAUUAUAGUUCUCACACCCUCUGUUUUAUGUUCUUAUUAUAAAGCCUUCCACUCCUGGCGAGGCUAGGGACCGCGGAAAGGGUAUCGCCACGAGCUAGCUUGUGAGCGAGGGACGUUCGAUAGGUGGUCUACCUCUUCUUUGUUUUUUUUUUGGGAGAGGAUGAGAGUUGUACCUUGUAUAGAGACCACCCUUUUUGUAGUACUUUUGUGAUAAUUCUUGUACUUACUUUAUCUUUAUGUCUAGUAGUUUACUUUCCCCUUUCUCUGCUUGUUGUUAGUUGUUAGCUGUUAGUAGCUCUGAUAUCUCUAGUGACUUUAUUUCUUCUUGCUUCCAUAUCUCUUUUGUUGUAGACGCCUUAUAUGUGCAGGCAUAUGGCGGGUCUGGGCACGCACCGGGCGGGCCUAUGCCGGGUCCCGGGGCGUGACAGAUUAAUUUGGUAUCAGAGCCUAGGGUUGAGUCUUAGGGGACCUAGCAAACCUUAGGCCGGUCGGAUUAUAGGAAAUAGGCUCGUGAGAGACAAGGUCUAUUUGAUUUGUAGGCGAAAGUAUCUUGAUUGGGUAUCUUGACAACUCCGAAAGGUUGGAGUUUGACUGAAGUAUAUGGCUUCUAACUUCGCGGAGGGUUACGUUGGCGGCCGACAACGUAUCAUCGGGAGUUAGUAGUGAAGGACACUUCCUUACUUUCGCAUGAUUUGGGGUUCGGUUA